RNAcentral lists this ribosomal RNA (491 nucleotides) under uncultured bacterium. Its description in RNAcentral is "partial 16S ribosomal RNA". It matches the Rfam family "Bacterial small subunit ribosomal RNA", at positions 29 to 506 of the family's 1533-position model. The record is from RNAcentral.
AGUGAACGCUGGCGGUAGGCCUAACACAUGCAAGUCGAACGGCAGCACAGUAAGAGCUUGCUCUUACGGGUGGCGAGUGGCGGACGGGUGAGGAAUACAUCGGAAUCUACUUUUUCGUGGGGGAUAACGUAGGGAAACUUACGCUAAUACCGCAUACGACCUACGGGUGAAAGCAGGGGAUCUUCGGACCUUGCGCGAUUGAAUGAGCCGAUGUCGGAUUAGCUAGUUGGCGGGGUAAAGGCCCACCAAGGCGACGAUCCGUAGCUGGUCUGAGAGGAUGAUCAGCCACACUGGAACUGAGACACGGUCCAGACCCCUACGGGAGGCAGCAGUGGGGAAUAUUGGACAAUGGGCGCAAGCCUGAUCCAGCCAUACCGCGUGGGUGAAGAAGGCCUUCGGGUUGUAAAGCCCUUUUGUUGGGAAAGAAAAGCAGCAGGUUAAUACCCCGCUGUUCUGACGGUACCCAAAGAAUAAGCACCGGCUAACUGCGU